AACGAACGCUGGCGGCAUGCCUAACACAUGCAAGUCGAACGAGACCUUCGGGUCUAGUGGCGCACGGGUGCGUAACGCGUGGGAACCUGCCCUUAGGUUCGGAAUAACUCCCCGAAAGGGGUGCUAAUACCGGAUAAUGUCUUCGGACCAAAGAUUUAUCGUCUUUGGAUGGGCCCGCGUUGGGUUAGCUAGUUGGUAGGGUAAAAGCCUACCAGGGCGGCGAUGCAUAGCUGGUCUGAGAGGAUGAUCAGCCACACUGGGAGUGAGACACGGGGGAGACUCGUACGGGAGGACGGAGUGGGGAAUAUGGGAGAAAGGGCGCAAGCCUGAUCCUGACAUACCGCGUGAGUGAAGAAGGCCUUCUGGUUGAAGAGGGCUUUUGUUGGGAAAGAAAAGCAGCAGGUUAAUGCCGCGCUGUUGUGACGGUACCCGAAGAAUAAGCACCGGCUAACUUCGUG
This 458-nucleotide ribosomal RNA is filed under the name uncultured bacterium. RNAcentral's name for it is "partial 16S ribosomal RNA". It matches the Rfam family "Bacterial small subunit ribosomal RNA", at positions 29 to 507 of the family's 1533-position model. The record is from RNAcentral.